UGAUAUUAAUUAGGAUUUAUGUAUCAGGAGAUUUUUUUAUACAGCUUUUCUCACAGCAUCUUAAAUAAGUGUGCAAAAAAGCUGAACGACAGUAUCAUUUGAAUGGAGCAAGUUGUAUGCUUUGCUGUUGUCACAGUUUUGUCAGUGUUGGGGAAAAUUGCAAAAAAUGUCUUCUGUUCAAAAUUUUAUCCACCCAGAAUUCCACUGCAGAUCAGUUUUGAAACUUGCUGCUCAAAGGAAUUUAAGAAAAAAUAUCCUAUGUAAAAUUUAAAAAAAAAUUGGUAGUGUUAACAGAUAGAAAUGUUGAUUGACUUUAUUUUUUUAAUGUAAGUCAUAACAUUUAGACAUGUAAAAAUAUAAGUGCUUUUUAAAUUGUAAAAUAGCUCCAUGAGACUGCUUAACUCUCUGUGCAUGACAUCUCCAUGCUGCUUAAGUACUGUUUGCUUUGUUAGUGAGAUGAAACAAGGGUUUGAGAAUGGAAGACAGUCGGGGUCUGGAGAAGGAAUUGUUAUCAGUGAACUUUGUUUCUUGGAAAAUGAGGCUCUUGGAGCUGGAAACUUUGGCUUUGGCAUACUGGAGUCCAUGUUUCACACAGAUGUGCAGGUCCUGUUCUGAUGCCCAGGAGUCACUGUGGGUUUCAGUGAGCUGUUUCAGCUUCCAUCCUGCUUGAAAUUGUGCACCUUCCUCCUGUCUGUGCUUGAAUAAUGAGGAGAGAACCACGGGCUGGAAAGCAGCUUAACUAAUCCAGUUUUGGACAGCUUAUGGCAAUUGCCUACCCGAGUAUGAAGUGUGAGUAAAGUGUCCUUACAGCACUCACAAGUCUUGUGGUUGGUGACCUGAUAUUGGGAGAUUUUAAUCUAACAUAGAACAAAUAUCAUCAUCAUCUUUCAUAUCUCUGAAAGCAGCACUGUGCUCUGUAUCUCCUUUGUUUGAUUCUUCCAGGCACUUUGAAUGUGUAUCUUAUGCCCUGUGUCCUGCUUUUGAAUUUGCAGUGCAGUAUCAUAACACUCCAUCUUUCAGUGAAAGAGCCAGCUGUAGGAUGAAGCCUAGAAAAAACCUCGGGGUUACACUCUGUCUGAACUGCUUUGGAGAUCAACCCAGCUGAAUUCUAAUUUAGAGAAGAAAGCUUCCCAUGACACAUUUGCACUGUAAACAUUUAGGGAGGUUUUUAAGAGUUGAUCUUGAAGUGUCCUUUAGGCUGAUUAUUCUGUUUUUAUGAAAAUUUUGCUUGUGAGAGCCCUUGAAUACACACUAGUGAGGAAAGAGGUGAAUAGAAGUAGACCACGGAAUUCUGAAUCUAUGCGUCAUAUAUCAGGAGACUAAACUUUGUAAUUAAAUAUUGAACAACUCUAUCCAAGCCUCUUCACAGCUCAGAUUUGAAGUUCAGUAGUGUGGUGCUAGCCCAUCUAGAAUCAUAUGUCCAUCAAAAAAUUCGAGGUCAAGAAGGCUCAGAUCUACCAAUCAGUUCCUUUUUGGUUGAGAAUGCUUUUAGAAGGCUCUUAUUUUUAGUGUCUGACAUUGAGGGGGUGGAGGUCCUUACAAAAAAGCAUCAGACCAAGCAACGAGGCUGCUUCCCUGAGGAAGGACACGAUGGUGUUUGGCUGCCAGAGUCUUGGACAGCUGCUGGCUGAGCAGUAUCUGAGUGCAGAUCAAUACAGGGGUAUUCCCUUUCUGUAUCUUUUUAUUGAGCACGGUUCUAUGGGCAGAAGUAAUUUCAGCAAAUCUAGGAGGAUUUGGAUUCUUUCUCUGCCCUUUGGCUUAAGGCUGUAGUUAUCUGUAAACUGAACUACCAUUGCAAAAAUCCAAAAUCACAAUCCUCUGUAACAGGUCACCAGCCAGCCUGUAAGGAAGUGGCCAUGUGUGAGAGGGACAGGUCUGUCACCUGGGCAGGCAGCAGGGAAGUCUCAUCGACUGCUUGGUUAAUGGCAGCAUCCUGAGCUGUCAGGCUCAUUAGGACACGCUGCUAAUUUGGUCAGGCAAGGGCUGCCAGGCUGCAUUGUGUGGGGUUAAGCAGCGUGAAUAGAGCCCGUAAGCAAAGCUGCUGGAAUCUGCUUUUGUGUUCCCUUUGGACGCCUGUCCUCUGCUUUUGGCUUCUUUUCCAGUUCAAAGUGGCCACGUGGAGUUUUGGCACAGUGAGUGCUGUCUGUAGAUGAGUUAUAGAUUGCAGAAGUGAUCUAACUUGUGCUGAGAGGAGUUAUCCAGCUUCUCAGCUGAUUUUGCAUACAUACACUUAGAGUGUCAAUUCACUACUUGGUGGGACUUAAUUAGAAAUGGAUUAAGCCUUUUUUCUUUAAAACCCAAUUUGAACUGCUAUAGGUAUUUUCCUUAUCAUCCCUGCUCACAUGUGCUAGGCAUUGCCUAUAUAGCAAUUAAAGUUUGCUUUUCUUUCUGCCAUCAAAAGAUAACCUUCCUCUCCUUCCCACAAGCCAUGGAGUCCUGCAGGUGGGUUUGCAGGUCUGACAGUUGUGACUCCACACGCACUCCAGUCCCUGGGAGAGCUGGGAGGUUGUGGACUGAGCCUUUGGACACGGGAGAUUGGUGGUGGGGAAAACCUGCCCUAUGCAGCCUGGCUUGGGUGAGUGUGCUGGCUCUGUGUGUGCCUGGCUGGAGUGAUUCCUGAUGGGAUUAUUGUGAAAGGUUGAGCAAGGAGAAGAGUUUGUUUUCAUCUCAUAAAGGGAGCAACCAGAUUGUCUCACUGCUGUCUUCCCCAGCAUGCGUCAGAAUAUUGUUAAUUUAGGAGUUGGAACCCAGUGGAGGAUUUUCUGAUUCUCUACCAUGUGUUUGACUUUGUAACUCCAAUUUCUCUCUCAUCCUUUGGGGAUGUUUUUCCCUGACAUCUUCAGCCUUACCAGAACUUUUUUGUUUGUUUGUUUCUGCCAGAGAAAACACUGAAAUUAAUAGUUUUUGGUAACCAUUUUGUACAUCUUCAUCUGGUUGAUCUGAUUAUGUUAAGGCUGAGUCGAAUACUCCAUUAAGAGUUUCAAAUGCUCCCAGAACUGAAGCAGGAAGAGGUUUCCCAGGAGACUGACUGUGUGUGCCUGCGUGGAGCAGACUUGGCCUGCACAAUUCCCUGGCAGAGAGCAGCACAGCUCCAGCACUUCUGUCACCAGAUACCUGGGGUGAUCCUGAGCUGGGAAUAGACACCUGCUGGGUCAGGCUUUUUUAUCACACUGGGGGCUGUCCUGCCCUCCAGAAACAAGGGGAAUUCAUGCCUCUGCCUGUUCAUGUACAGGGAUAUUGAUGUAAUGCAGUGCCCCAUUUUGGGAAGCAGUGUUUUUCCAAGGGUGGAAAAAUGCUUGCUCUGUGGGAGGGAAUACUUCUUGCAAACAAGCACUGAAUUUCUUCAUUUUACUUUACUAGGGAUUUCUGUUAGAAAAUAAGGCUGGAGGGGGGAAGUUUGGAAAGAUUCUGGGAAGCUUUGACUCAGAAAAGGGAGAAUGAUUCAUAUUAUUACUGUUAUUUAUUAAGGAGAACAGACCAUGAACCUGAUUUUUUACUUAUCUUUGGAAACUUAAAGCACUUAAUGCAGUGACCCCAAAAGAGUUUGUGGGUUUAAACCAAGGUCUUUCAACAUAAAAGCUAAAUCCCAGAUGUGGGAGCUGGCCCACAACAUUUUAAGAAGAUUUAUUCCUAUUACCUUCAUACUUGAUAAGUAUUUUAAAAUCCUCAGUUCAUCCCUUCUCUAUUUGUGAAACAGGGUGGUAAAUAAGUCUUGAAACUUGACCCUUUCUGUGCUGUGGCAAUGGUCAGUUUAUCUCUGGUUAUUGCUGGAGUCUCGAUGUAAGAGAUCAUUCAUUUGAGAGUCCAUCUAGUUUUGGUGGGGAGAAUUUGAUUACUGAGAAAAGCAAUUUUGUUUAGUAGCAACGGUUUUUCUCUUUUUAAUUAGGAAAUAAACAUUUGCUUCUCCAAAAAUAACUUUGUUGUAAAUAAUCAAUACCUAAGAUAAUCAAAGAUAUAUAUUAGAAAUAAGGUUUUAAGCUCCAUCUUAAGAUAAUACUGAGAACUGUAAUUCACAUCUGUGUUUGUAUUCUGCUACUAUGAAAAAAAGAUAAGUGCAACCUAAGCAAUGUUUUAAUUAUGUUUGGCAAUAAAAUUUAAAUAAUGAAAAAUCAAAACUUGACACAGUCUAUAUCCCACCUGUAAGUUCCUUCUUGUACUUCAGAAGGUAGUAUAACUUAAUUUUUUAGCUAAUUCCUUAGGUCAGUUCUUUAAAGAAUCAAUCAGACAAGGUUCUGUCUGUUUUAUGAAAAUGGAAAGGCACUUGACUGUGGCCACACAGUUUUAUCUUCUCCCCUUGUAAUAUCAUACUGUACACACCUAAUACUUUUGGGUAGGCUGUCAGUGGCUGAGUCAGAGAAGUUAGGAGAAAGUUUUAACUUAAAGAUUUUAACUUUUAGAGUUGGAGACUGGAACAAAUAUCUCCAUUAUCCUCCUGAAAAAUCCUGUUAGCAAAGCAGUCCCAUCAUAUCGAAGUUACUGGCUUGAAUGUUGCUUGUAUUGUCUGUUAAAGCAUAGCAACUUAAUCUCAGCAGAGUUUGAGAAGGCAGGCAAAGACUCUGCUAGCAAGAAAAAAUGGACAGAAAGGACAAGUUGUCACAGCAAGUAUAGAAACUUUGUUUUACUUCACUGGGAAGGCAGAAGUCCUCACCUUCCACAACUGUGAAUCAAACACUUCUGAGCAACUCAACACCCACCCCAGAAAGAUUUCCUUAUAGGCUCCAGAAAACUGACUUAUGUCAGUUGGAAUAAACACACUGUGCAAAGUUAAGAGGUCUCCAAGGCUUUGGAUAAUGAACAGAAAUCUUAAUUAUAUUCAACCCCAGAUAAGAAUUUAUCAGUAAUUACAGACAUUUAGUUGACAUGUAAGCCGUCCUGUGAGGUCACCAAAACACAUUUCUUGGAUCAUACCUAUUAGUGGAGUUGAGUUUUCUUUGCUUAAAGAUCCAAAGUAAUGUCAGCCAUAUGGCUGUAGAAGAGAUGUGAUGAGGCAUUGAAAAUCCAUCAGUAUUUUCUUCAUAAAGCUGCAAAAUAAACACAUUGAACUCUCCUGUAGUCAAUUUAUGCCUGAAAUCAUCUUGUCCUGUGUCCUGUCAGAGAAUCUGAGUAACUAUUGUGGUAGAAAUAAGAUCUUCUGUCAGGAUUGUAAAUACCUUCCAAAACUGAACUCAAACAGUGAGCCAUGCACUCAAGUACUGGAGUCUAUGGGUGACAUUACAGGGAGGGGCUGUAUAAGAACAAACAUAUGUCAAACACAUUGUAGAGGUUCCCUCCUACUGGCCUUGGACUUUGUAGCUCACUGAGGUUGCCAGAAUUAAACACGAUACACAUUUUGUGGCUUUUGUGUAGUAUUUCUUAAUGUAGUGCCUGAUGUACAAAUCCAAUACUUCAGCAAAAUACAGGCAUCUAUAGCUACACUACCAAGUGACCUGUCUCCUGUCCUUGAUUUGACCUUUGGAGAUCUUCUUGGCUAUCCUCAUCUCCAUCCCCAAAUUAGCAAUUUCUGCAUAAAGAAAAUGAGCAUCAAGAUCAUUCCCAGCAAGAAGUAUCAUCAGAAAAAGACCAAAAGCUCCAUUUCAUGGAAACAGUUUUGUGAGUCAACAUGCUAAAAUCCACAGUUCAGGCAGUGCAUCCCAAAGAUCAUUAUUAAGUAGUGUGGUUAAAAACUGUUUUCCUGGGAGCGAUUUUGCUGCUUGGGCAAAUCUCUCACAGGUGCAGCCUUUCAGGAAGUCCAGACCUAUAAACAAGCAAGCAAAAACAAUCCAAAGGACAGCAAUGAUCUGUUGCCUUACCAGCAGGGAAAAUCCAAGAGAAGACUUGGAAUUUCUGUGGAAGUAGAAUCUGGGGCGGGGUGGGGGGGGUGAAUCCAUAGUCUAUAAUGGCAUUUUUGGAAGUAGCCAUUUAUUGUGUACAAAAUUGUCCAGUCAAAAGAGCUGAUAAGUUUAAGGAACAAGCAGAAAUAGCCAAAGAAAAGCUCAGGCAACCCAGCCUGGUUAUUAAAUGGAAUGCAGCCCUAUCUUUGUAUAGUACAGAUGGGCCUGAGAAGGGAUUUGAGUCAUCUGCUAUGUAGCAUGAUUUACUUUGCCAUAGCCAAUUUCAUCUGCAGCAGCCAACAUUGAUUGUUCAAGUGGGGUAACUUCAGCAUUUGCAAUCUGAGAAUGCAGCCCCCUUUUUUUCUUUUUUUUUUCCUUUUUUUUUUUUUUUUUUAAAUUGAAGAUGAUCAAAAGAACUCAAAUUACAGGGACCUUCCUCACCUGAGAGGCAGAAUUUGGCAUGAGAAUUCAAGUACCAGCAAGAAGCAUCCAGAAGAGUCUGUGGAAGCAGCUACCUGGAGCAGCCCUCUCACUGUUUUCCACCUGCAGCCUCAUGAGCCUUGUCUCCAAAGAGCUGUGUUUGGCCUUUCUCCUGGCACUGAGGACUCUGCAUGUUGUUAAACAUUUUCCUGUCUGCUUUUGGCUCCACAAUGGAUUUCUCCUGAACCCUGAAAGCAGUGAAUUCUUUUGAAAGAAAAUGACCUGACUGAAGCAGAAUACAAUUUGAAGAGUCUCCCACAUGUUAGUGCUAUAUCCUGGAAGCUUCCCUUCAGGAUUAGUGGUUCCUCAGGUGCUUCAAUGGCCAGGGCUGGCAGUGCUCUCACAGGCAGAGCAACUCUCAGGUGGCCUUCUUGGCUCUGGUUUUGCCUCAGGUGCCCCUGGUUGACAAAAGCCAUCUCCCCAGCCAUCCCAGUGUACAAUGGACUCGUUUUCUUGUUUGUACUGGCAAACUUCAGCAUGGCAACUUUCAUGGACCCUGGAGUUUUCCCACGAGCAGACGAAGAUGAGGACAAAGACGACGACUUCCGCGCGCCGCUGUACAAGAACGUGGAGAUCAAAGGGAUCCAAGUACGGAUGAAGUGGUGUGCCACCUGCCACUUCUACCGCCCGCCCCGCUGCUCCCACUGCAGCGUCUGCGACAACUGCGUGGAGGAUUUUGACCAUCACUGCCCAUGGGUCAACAAUUGCAUAGGACGGAGGAACUACCGCUAUUUUUUUCUCUUCUUGCUGUCCUUAAGUACGCACAUGAUUGGAGUGUUCACCUUUGGGCUCAUCUUCGUACUAAACCAUAUGGAAAAGCUGGGAGCAGCUCAUACUACCAUUACAAUGGCUGUCAUGUGUGUGGCUGGGUUAUUCUUUAUCCCAGUCAUUGGUCUCACUGGCUUCCAUAUUGUUCUAGUGGCCCGAGGGCGCACAACAAAUGAACAGGUGACAGGGAAAUUCCGUGGUGGAGUGAAUCCUUUUACCCGAGGAUGCUGUGGAAACGUGGAACAUGUGCUCUGCAGCCCCUUGGCUCCCAGGUAUGUGGUUGAGCCAAAGAAAAAGCAAGCUGUGAGUGUGAAGCCUCCUUUCCUGAGACCUGAUUUGUCUGAGCGACAGAUCACAGUGAAGAUCAGUGACAAUGGCAUCCAAGCCAACCUCAACCGGAGCAAGUCUAAAAUCAGCCUGGAAGGUCUGGAGGAUAAGAGUAUGGAUGUGCAACCACCUCUCCCACCCAAAGGAGAUCCAAGCAAGUACUCUGAGCUAAAAGGGCAGCUGGGCACCAGUGAAGAAGGUGGCCUCUCACCCAAACUUAUCAGCCCUCCUACUCCUGCCAUGUACAAAUACCGACCAGCUUUCAGCAACAAUCCCAAAGUCCACUACCACGCCACGGCCGAGCAGAUCACCUUGCAGGAAGGACACAGUCAAGGGGCUCUGAUAGAAGAGGAUGGCAGGAGCCUCGAUUACCAGUCUGAACCCAGCUUGGACAUCCCCAGCUACCGGAAGAGCUCCCUCCACAAGACCUAUCAGUCUUCCCCACUCCAGAUAGAUUCCUUUGCCAUCAAUUCACGAUCCCUGAGCCUGAAAUCUGCUGGCAGGAGAGGGACAGACAAAGUGCCCCUUCAUCCAAUAAAGUCUGAAGGGGCGGCUUCCACCCCUUACAAAAGCAUCUUUUCUCCCAAUUCCCUGUCAAACAGAAAUGGGAGUCUUUCGUAUGACAGUUUGCUGAACCCCAUGUCUCCCUCGGGGAGGAAGUGCAUUGCCCAUUCUGCAGUCAGCUCUGUCGGGUACCACUCCCCAUAUUUGUCAGCCAAAAUGUGCCACCUCCGGGGCAGCGAGCUGCAGCGCCAGGCACCGCAGAGCUUCAGCCCGGUGCUGGGGAGCCCCGCCCCGCAUCAGCGAGACCCCUCCCCAGUGCGCUAUGACAACCUUUCCAAGACAAUUAUGGCAUCCAUCCAGGAAAGGAAAGAGAUGGAAGAGAGGGAGAAGCUCCUCCACUCGCACCCCGACUCGGUGUUUGCAGACUCGGGUGUCUAUGACACGCCCAGCUCCUACAGCCUUCAGCAAGUGAGCACGCUCUCGGAAGACCCGCGCAGCAUGGCCAUGAGAUACGGAUCCAGGGACAAUCUGAUGGCUGCCACCAGCUUUAGCACAAGGAACCCUAUACUGCAGUCCUCAGUGUCUUCACUCUCGAGUGCAAUGACAAGAGCACCAAGGACUUCCACAACCUCUCUGCAAGCUGAUUUAGCCAAUAAUAAUGUGCAGUCCCAUCAAGCACUACAGGGCAGGGUGAGCAAUGGCUCCUACAAAUCCCCAGGCCACCAAGUCCCAUCGUCCCCCACAGGGAUGCCUAGGUCACCCUCUUACGGAGGCCCAAAGGCUGUGUCGUUUGUAAACACUGUGGAAAUUACAGAGGUGCAAUCAGUGGGAGCACAGAGGGAUGACAUGCAGUUGAAGACACCUCACAGUAAAAUAAAUGGACAGCCAAAAGGAAUAGCCAGGUUGGGUUCAACAUCAAGUUCCCAGGGGACGCCUGUCAGCCCUGCUAGACACUCAAAUGUUAAGAAGGUGUCUGGAGUUGGUGGAACAACCUAUGAAAUUUCAGUGUAAAAUAAAAUGAAUUAAAAACAAAGAGCCAUCCACUCAGCCAGCCAUGAAGCUAGGAGCACUGUGAAGACUCAAAUAACAACAAAGAAGGAGCAGCAGCAGUCGGCCACUCUCCUUUUCUUGUUUUGGGUUUGUUCUGUUUUCAUCUUUCUCUUUUGGCCAAAAACCAGCUGCAGCCUUAUUCUUGAGGGAAUAAUAGAAUUGUACAGUCUAUCGACUCUUCCUGAACCGACAGGCGGGAACUGGCUACGACCUAAGACCACCACAGAGCGGAUUUCCUUCCUGCAAGAGAGCGCUAAAGCCAUCGUGCACGUGUCUGUCCAACCACUCUGUUGUGUCCCAGUCGUGCUGUGAAAAAGUACAGUCAGUCCAGGAUCAGUCAGUUUUCCCAUGCCCCUUCCCAGUUCUUCUGGCCAGCGAUGUGUCCAGCAGGAGCCAGAGGACCAAUGCUGUUUUCCUGCUGACAUAGCAAGUAGGGUCCCUACGCUGGGCAGGAGCUUCUCCUUGUCCCCUGGGCACUGCAGCUCAGGUUCCUCCUCCUGGGAAGGAGCAAGGCAAGGCCACUUGGGCUGCAGACACCACGUCGUCUUUAAAAGUCUCCCUGGUCCCAGAUGGGGGCAGGAGGAAGGAUAGCAACAGCUUCUCCCUGCCUGCCAUUGGCCUCCCUGUGUGUGAAGUUGUGUGUGUGCGUGCGCGUGUUUGUCUCCAUGGAAAAGGACCGCAACACCGGCGAGGAUCUGCCACUCUGACCUCCUGCUCCCUCUGGGUUUGAAAGGCUUCUCUGACCCAGAAACAAAACCAGGCAGAUAAGAAAGGAAAUGUUGGAUGGAAACGUAUUUUAACCAGCUGUCAGCUGCUUUCCCUGCACCCUCCUUACCUGUUGGAUUUAGGCAAUAACAGAGUUUACUGCCUUGCCCUGGUGCCGUCAGUGUAAUCCCGCAGCAAGGUUAUCAUGAGCUGUCGAAUUCACAGUGUGUGUAACUGAGCCAAGCGUGCAUCUAAAGGAUAUAAAUUUUCUGUCUGCCUAAUUACUAGCACAUUCCCUCUGGUCUUCAAUACUGUUAGACAAAGGAUUUUCAAUUUGGGUUUUCCCCCCUGGGGAACAACUUUUUAAAAUAAUAUCAAUCAAAUCUAUUUAACAUUCUGAGGUUUCUUUUUCCUGUCUCCAGAAAACUGCAUUUACUUUGUUGGAUUUAAAGACAACUUCACCGUAAAAAACAAGAAAGGGGUGCAUUACUUUUGCCAAAAAUAUGAGGACUCUGGCAAAACUAAUUUUGGGACAAAUGGAUUUUUAUUUCUCUGUUCCUUCUCUCCUUUUCCUUACCAUUCAGUUACCACCUCAGAAGUCAAAAGUACUGAGAUCUGGACCAAUGCUAACUAGCCAGAUCAUGUGUGCAAUUAAGAAUAUCCUGAGCGACUGUUGCCAAAGUCACUAAAAAUUAUUAUUUAUCACUGAGCCAGUCAGCAUACAAGACCUCGACUUCCCACCUGGUUCUCUUGGUGAAUAGUUUUGAUUAGAGAUCUAAAUCCAUCAUUUUUCAGGAUAUUUGAAAGGGGUUGAAAUCCUUUACAGUCCUUGACUAUAAUGGAAAGCUCUCCAGGUAUUUGGUAGCAAUUCAGAAUGUGUUUGUAACAUCUUAUUUGUUUUCAUGUAUGUUGAGGUUAAUUAUUCCAGAAGGCAAAUAUUGACCUUAAUUUUGCCUGGUUAAAAUUUAUAUUUUGAUUUGAUGAAUCUUGACAUCUGCUGCAAUACAUGGUUAUUAUGUCCCUUGUAUAUCACAUUAUUUUUUGGAGACAAAGGUUGAAGAGAACAUAAGAAAGUUAAUCAUCUCUCUGUGUAAUGCUCUAUGUUGCCUGAAGGGAGAAACAUGGAAAACAAUGCAUCUGCAAUAGGCUGAAGUUCUGAGGGAGUGAAGUAGAAAUCAGUGCAUUUUAUUGCCUUGAUGAUAUUUUAAAUGCCUGGUGUAGGGAUGCUGCAGAGCAGAGAAGCAAUAGUCUUUCUAUGCAGAUUUGCUCACUGACAUGUAGAGCACUGUCUUUAGUUGAAGGCACCAUGGUACCAGAAGGAUGCUGGCAAACUGCAUCAGGUACAGAUGGAGCAAUAUAUAUUAAAGAAUUGGAUGGGCUGGCUAUUGAGAAGAUUUAAAGGGCUAAAACACGGCACUGGCUAAGCAAUGAAGUGGAAAUUGAGUAUCAUAAUUUUACAAAUAUGUUACUUAAGAGUUGUAAAACCAAAGCUAAAUCAAAGGGUUGUCACUGGUAACCAAUGGUCUACAUUUAGAAUGGGGCAGAAAAGAUGGAGAGGAAGAGGCAGUGGAAUAGUCUUCCAAGCAGAGUUUUGGAUGAACUGUUUAGGACAGUCAAACUGUAUUUGGACAAGUAAUUUAAAAAUUUCUGAGAGGUGAGCCUGUAGGGACAAGGGGUAGACCAGAUGGCCUUACAGAUUUCUUCCAUCUUCAACUGUUAUUAAUCUGCAGUCUACCCUGAUGUUAACUCCUCAGGAAGAUGCAGUACUUUAAGGACUGGAAUUCACUCUGGUGCAUAGAGUAUCACAAGAAUUACUUGUUUUUAAAGUAUCAUGUAUGCCAUAUGUAAGCCCUGAAGAAGAGGGGGUAUGAAACACAUGGGAUUAGGGAGUGAGACAAGGGCACAUUUUAUCAUGUAUCUUUGAAUACGUACAUGAAAUUCAUGCAAGCAAGGCUGAAAAUUUGCACCAAUGUAAUAUUUGAGAUUUGCAUCCCAGUGAUGCUCCACUUUGAUCGUUCUUUCUCUUGCAUUUAUAAAUGAAAAAGCUACUGAGGAACUUGAAGGGCCAAAGAGCCUUUGAAGUUAACUACAUUAGUUCAUGAGAGAAUUUCUCAGUAAGACUAAACACAGUAUUGUGUGUAUAAAGCACUAAUAUCCAGGGUUAUUUUGACAUAGUUCACAAGGGGUAAGGGAGAAAAAAAGGAUGCACUGUGUCAGUACAAGUUCAGCAGUAAGGAUUAUGUAUUUUGUGAGUAGUUUUGCCCACAGUUGAGAGACAUUCAACUUUUUCAUAGGUUUACAAUGGUACCAAAGUCUUUUUUUCUUUUUUCCUUUUGAGGUUUGCAUUUAAUUCAGUGCACAUAGCCUGGAGUAAAUUAUUCAGAUUUUCUAAAAGAAUAAUCUAAGCAGAACUGUUAACAGGAGAUUGCAUGCAGCAAAUCCAGCCUCAUUUCCAUCCAAGGCACUGAACCUGCAGCUAUUUACUCAUAAAUGUAAGUGUCUGUUCCAUAGUUCCUGUUAUGGGACUGGGGACCUAUUUAUUAAAUCUAAUUUUUGAGCAGAAUCCAGCCCAUAUUAAAGUAUAGUUCUUUCAGCAGUUUACAGAUCACCAGUAAGGUUCUUCUGCCCAGAUACCCGUUUUUACAGACACUGCAGGCCAAAUCUUCAGCUGGUAUAAAUUGGUGUGGCUCCAUGAAAGCUCAUUUAAUUGAUGCUAAUUUAUAGUAGGUGGGGAUCAGCCAAGAAAAUCCAGCAUGAGUUAACACAUCCUGUAAAGUAGCUUCUUUAUUUUUGUCAUGCUUAUCACAUGUUUCAAAAGUCUUAAAUAUUUUCAACAUGUUUUUAUUUGUAGCUGUGGAUUGUAUUACUUAUUUAAAAAAGAGCAAUAGGUUUUUUUAGUUUACGCAUCAGUUUUCGUUGCAUAUUGCAUUUUAUUAUCUGUUUGUUCCCUGUUCAUACGCUCCCAUUUAGCCUCCAGGUUUUCAUUGUAGUACUUUUCUGCCUUGAAAAGUUGGAUCUCUAUAUCUUUAAUUGUAUAAUAUAUUGAGUAUUAUGGAAUUAAAUGUACCUUACUACAUGGGUGGGAGAGAGAGAAAAUAUUUUUACUUGAAGCCUUAAUAUUUUCUUUUUUUACUACUUUGUUUGUUGACCUCAUAGGAAAGUCUGAAUAGCAAAGACUUUGAAACUCCGGGCCAAAUACUGCACUGACAGACAACCAGCAUUUGGCCCCCAUGUCAAAACUGGAUGCAGACAUAACCUGAAGUGAACAAGGGAAAAAGCCUCAGGGUGGCAUAUUUUCCUGAAGAUCAUUAAUACAGUCUCAAAACAUGUCUGUAAGCAAGUACAUUAAAGAAGUCUUCAAGUCUUGAAUUUUUAAGGAAGGUGAUAGCAGGAACUACCCUAAAAUCUUUACAUCUGCUUUUUUUUUUUUUUUUUUUUUUUUUUUUUAAUUAAGCAAAACAAAUGUAUUUACUCAGUUUGGUUCAGCCAGCUCGGGGGGUUGCACAGAGCUCUGUGUUGGUGGCCAUGUGCAGCACAUGAGCUGUGGGGUGUUGCUGUUCUAAUUCUAACCAAGCGUGAAGUUGUGUCAGCUCGGCCCGUGAGCAUCCCUCCCGGGCCCUACAGUGGACGUUCCUCAGAUGAUGCCUACUCUCCUACAAGCCUAAUAUGGAAAUUGCAAUGUGGUUUUCUUUGGACUAUAUCUGUGGUCCAGACUAGAGAUAUAUAGAGAGAUAUAUAUAUAGUCAAUAUUUUUUUGUGUGUGUGGGAAAGAUGGGGUCAAGCUUUUCUGUCUCUGACAGUCUGGAAAGUUAAUGUCGAACCGUUUUUAUGGUCUGUAUUUCACCUGUUCUGCCACCUUGAAUUGUUGGAAUGUAUCCGUGCAGGCUUUGUGGAGCUCUGUCUGUAACCUUUUUUGUGGCUCUCGUAAUACAUAUAUAUUUUUUAAACCUUUGAGUCACUUCAGUAUUUUCAAGUGUCCAUUUCUGCCUCAGAUGCAUUCAUUUGCUGAGAUGAUUCACAGUGGGCUGCCCUUUCUCGCUUCUACUUGUGCCAAACCUGAACUGGAAGAGCAGAACUGGAAAGGCCAGUUCCAGUGCAAAGGACAAAACUGACAAAAUAUUAGAAGAAGUGACUGCAGGUUAAAUCUCAUUUUCAAGAUGCCUCUGGUAGAGUAGGAAAUACGGACAAGUUUAGGUUCACAUAUUGGAACAUAAUAAGGAGAGACAAAGGAAACUAUUUAUACAGGUGAAUGUGUCUUUUAAGAGAGAAUCAGUUUUACAAUAAAUAGAAUAUAUUAGAAAUAGAUUAGAAUUACUGUCAAAAUUGGUUUUGUUCAUCUUGUCACAAUAACCUGAAAUUAAAGUAAGGCUUAUUUCACAGCUGAUAUCUCUAACCCUGAAACAUUUUAAAAAUGUUUUGCUUAAACAUUUCAAAUUAUAUGAAGAAAUAUGAUCUACUUUUACAGAUUAAAACAGUACUGGAGAAGUGAUGGUACAUUUUACAGUGCCUUAUAUAUAUGUGUAUAUAUUUAUAUGUAUAUAUAUAAUGCCUUUAUGUCUAUAAUGUAUAUGUAACUGUGGACAUAGAGUUAAGUAAAACUAGUUACAGCUGUCUCUCUCUGAUGUAUUUUAAAUGGAACUGAUCUGUCUUGAUAGAAAAAAAAAAAAAGGUUGUAUCAGAAGCAAAAUACAAAACUGAAAUUACUUUAAGAAAAUGUAAGCAAAUAAAGUAGACUGGAAAGACU
This is a non-coding RNA of Sturnus vulgaris (Common starling), 14388 nucleotides long. NCBI's taxonomy places the organism in Eukaryota, Metazoa, Chordata, Aves, Passeriformes, Sturnidae. The record is from RefSeq and is a predicted model, not a curated record.